GGCUGCUUCUCCUCAUGCGGUAUUAAAGGUUCCUGCCUGCUGCACACUCAGAGGGGGGGCGGGGCUGCCAGGAAAGGACCAAUGACGUCAGUGUGUCGACCCUCCUCCUCCGCCCCGAUCACCUCCAGUCCAGCUCAGCAGAGUUCAGAUACAGCCUCAGAAACCCACUCCUCAUCACAUCCUGCACUCACCACCAGGGUCUAAACUUCAUCGCGGGGUAUCCUACCCUGCUGUCGACCUCGCUACCCCUCUGAGUUCAUGAAGUCGUCAUGAUGGAGUCUAACCUCAAAAGAUUUUGCACAUUUAUUUCCUACAUUGUUAAAUAAAUACAGUGUUCAUUCUUAA
Labrus bergylta (ballan wrasse) is the source of this 345-nucleotide non-coding RNA. The record is from RefSeq and is a predicted model, not a curated record. Lineage: Eukaryota; Metazoa; Chordata; Actinopteri; Labriformes; Labridae.